GACGAACGCUGGCGGCGUGCCUAAUACAUGCAAGUAGAACGCACAGUUUAUACCGUAGCUUGCUACACCAUACACUGUGAGUUGCGAACGGGUGAGUAACGCGUAGGUAACCUGCCUGGUAGCGGGGGAUAACUAUUGGAAACGAUAGCUAAUACCGCAUAAUAUUGAUUAUUGCAUGAUAAUUGAUUGAAAGAUGCUAUUGCAUCACUACCAGAUGGACCUGCGUUGUAUUAGCUAGUAGGUGAGGUAACGGCUCACCUAGGCGACGAUACAUAGCCGACCUGAGAGGGUGAUCGGCCACACUGGGACUGAGACACGGCCCAGACUCCUACGGGAGGCAGCAGUAGGGAAUCUUCGGCAAUGGACGAAAGUCUGACCGAGCAACGCCGCGUGAGGGAAGAAGGGUUUCGGAUCGUAAAGCUCUGUUGUAAGAGAAGAACGGGUGUGAGAGUGGAAAGUUCACACUGUGACGGCAUCUUACCAGAAAGGGACGGCUAACUACGUG
RNAcentral lists this ribosomal RNA (505 nucleotides) under uncultured bacterium. RNAcentral describes it as "partial 16S ribosomal RNA". It matches the Rfam family "Bacterial small subunit ribosomal RNA", at positions 28 to 507 of the family's 1533-position model. The record is from RNAcentral.